Molecule: ribosomal RNA, 505 nt
Filed under: uncultured Oscillospiraceae bacterium
Lineage: Bacteria; Bacillati; Bacillota; Clostridia; Eubacteriales; Oscillospiraceae
Description: bacterial SSU rRNA
Rfam family: Bacterial small subunit ribosomal RNA
Source: RNAcentral
AGUAGUUUGAUCCUGGCUCAGGAGAACGCUGGCGGCGUGCCUAAUACAUGUAAGUCGAACGGAGAUAUUCGCUGAUGAAGUACUUCGGUAAUGAAUCUUGGAUAUCUUAGUGGCGGACGGGUGAGUAACGCGUGAGCAACCUGCCUUUCAGAGGGGGAUAACGUUUGGAAACGAACGCUAAUACCGCAUGACAUUAUCUUAUCGCAUGGUAGGAUAAUCAAAGGAGCAAUCCGCUGAAAGAUGGGCUCGCGUCCGAUUAGGUAGUUGGUGGGGUAACGGCCCACCAAGCCGACGAUCGGUAGCCGGACUGAGAGGUUGGACGGCCACAUUGGGACUGAGACACGGCCCAGACUCCUACGGGAGGCAGCAGUAAGGGAUAUUGGUCAAUGGGGGAAACCCUGAACCAGCAACGCCGCGUGAGGGAAGACGGUUUUCGGAUUGUAAACCUCUGUCCUCUGUGAAGAUGAUGACGGUAGCAGGGGAGGAAGCUCCGGCUAACUACGUG